GCAUAUAUAAGAUGGCUGCGGGCCGCAUAUCGUCCUUUCUUCCUGCUCCAGCCGUGUUCUUUGUAUGUUGUCGUUAUGUACUUCGUCCUCCUCACCUCCACAACUCGCCGCUCUCGGGACGUUUUCUCCGGUUGCUGCGCCCAAGACUGCGGGAUGCAGAACCUGCCGCGGAGAAGCCGGCCUUCUCCGUCUCGGCGGUGGAGGCCAACAAGGCGGCCACGAUGGCGGCUCGCGUAGUGGUAGUCAGCGGCCUGCAUACCGCGCCCUUUGACGGCUGUUCCGGAUGGAGCCUCCAUGAAGACAGAUGGGACUGAUGCUGUGCAGCACUAGGGCCUGGUUCUUCUCAAGGCUUUUAAUUGGGGACGUCAGCCUGUAUGCCUCUGCCCAGUCACUAAGGACCAUGUAACCAGUGAAGGGGUCAUCAUUUAUGAUCUCUACAGUUUGUUGGAAAAAAAAAACAAGAGGACUUCCCUGGAAGCAAGCAAGAAGCCUACACUGACAGUAAAGGAUACAAAGAGAAACCAUGUCUUGAAAAAAAGAAGUGAAAUUCUUUGGGAUUUAACAUGUAAUCAGGUCAAUAAAGACUUUUAAAAGUAUUUUCUCUGUAAUUUAAAAUGAUUAAACAAAACCACAGAGAAACCCUGUCUCAAAAAACCGAAAAUAAAAAAAAAAUAAAAUAAAAUGAUUAAA
This is a long non-coding RNA of Microtus oregoni (creeping vole), 690 nucleotides long. RefSeq lists it as uncharacterized. The record is from RefSeq and is a predicted model, not a curated record. NCBI's taxonomy places the organism in Eukaryota, Metazoa, Chordata, Mammalia, Rodentia, Cricetidae. The transcript has 5 exons.